RNAcentral lists this ribosomal RNA (497 nucleotides) under uncultured bacterium. RNAcentral describes it as "partial 16S ribosomal RNA". It matches the Rfam family "Bacterial small subunit ribosomal RNA", at positions 28 to 507 of the family's 1533-position model. The record is from RNAcentral.
GAUGAACGCUGGCGGUGUGCCUAAUACAUGCAAGUCGAGCGAACAGACGAGGAGCUUUUUCCUUUGACGUUAGCGGCGGACGGGUGAGUAACACGUGGGUAACCUUCCUAUUUGUCUGGGAUAACUUCGGGAAACCGGAGCUAAUACCGGAUAAUAUUUCGAACCGCUGGGUUCGAUAGAGAAUGAUGGCUUUCCUAUUACUUAUAGAUGGACCUGCGCCGUAUUAGCUAGUUGGUAAGGUAACGGCUUACCAAGGCAACGAUACGUAGCCGACCUGAGAGGGUGAUCGGCCACACUGGAACUGAGACACGGUCCAGACUCCUACGGGAGGCAGCAGUAGGGAAUCUUCCGCAAUGGGCGAAAGCCUGACGGAGCAACGCCGCGUGAGUGAUGAAGGUCUUCGGAUCGUAAAACUCUGUUAUUAGGGAAGAACAAACGUGUAAGUAACUGUGCACGUCUUGACGGUACCUAAUCAGAAAGCCACGGCUAACUACGUG